Molecule: long non-coding RNA, 309 nt
Filed under: Homo sapiens (human)
Lineage: Eukaryota; Metazoa; Chordata; Mammalia; Primates; Hominidae
Description: HSALNT0269007
Source: RNAcentral
AAACUGUCAACAAGGCCUUGUCUUAAUAACCAAACUUGAGGCCUUUUAUCUGGGAAGAUUUAUGAAGUAAUUUUAAAGAGAUCCAAGCAAACAUCUGUCAAUAAAUUGAAUGCCGGCUACAGGAUUUACAAGCAAGACAAGAAUUUCUCAUUAAGUGCACAUUAACACGGUGGGGAUCAUAAAUAGAAGGAGGCCAGGAUGCGGAGCCUCUCAAGCUGUCAUUAAAACACUAUCUAAGAACUAAUGAGGAAGUGAUGGAAGGAUACUAAUGAAGAGAAUCACUGAAGAAGAAAAUGAAGAUGACAAGGC